GUGGGACUCUUGGAAAAAAUGGAAAAAAGGAUAAAGGAUAUGGAAGAAAGCAUUAGAGAAGUAAAGAGAAAGAAAAUUUUGAGAGAUCAGGCAGACUACAAAACACAGACACAGAGAAAUUGGAAAAAAGAUUCAAGGUUCAGACAAUAUUCUCCAAACCAGGAUAACAAUAGAUCUAAGCUAAGAUCACAGUAUCAUCACAAGAUAUAUAGAGAUGCUCCUACAAUCUAUCAAUCCCCGAUGAGGACAUAUCCACGGAACUAUCCACAUAAUAGUUAUGUAGACCCAAAAAGAAAUGACAAUAGGAAUGACAGAUACC
Molecule: non-coding RNA, 319 nt
Organism: Pelobates cultripes (western spadefoot toad)
Lineage: Eukaryota; Metazoa; Chordata; Amphibia; Anura; Pelobatidae
Source: the annotation of a GenBank genome assembly